Molecule: transfer RNA, 70 nt
Filed under: Nonomuraea dietziae
Lineage: Bacteria; Bacillati; Actinomycetota; Actinomycetes; Streptosporangiales; Streptosporangiaceae
Description: tRNA-Lys
Source: RNAcentral
GCGGUACAGCUGCGGUCGAAGUCGUUGACUCUUGAUCAGCGGGUCCGGGGUUCGAGUCCCUGACGGCGCA